CAAAAAGCCACUUGUAAUUGUAUUUUUCAUCCUUCUCCUCUGGUCUCCGCUGUCGGAUCUUCUGACCGUCUCGUGUCAAAGUUGAAUCAAAUAGUCAAGGUUUGCUUCCAGGUAAAAACUCUCACAAUUUUGAUGAUCAAAACGAAUGGCAGAUCAAUCGAUCUCUGUUAACACAAAAUUUCAGAUUUUUCUCAAUUUGAUCGGUAAUAUUUGUUUUAUAUUUUGAAGAUUACGUCCACGCAAUAGUUUUAAGGUGUUGUAUGUGUAUGUGAGAAAUGAGGCGGAGACGUCAUAUCUUAACCUAAAAUUUCAGAACAGGUCUUUCACAUUGUUAAGGUUUACGAUGAUUUUCAUUAUUUCGAAGGAGAUUUCUGAUGAUUUUUUGAAGUAAUGGAGUCCUCUUGUUUUAGAAUUUGGUAUAUAAACAGAGAAAACUGUUGUUGUGGAUGUCAAUUUUAUGUUACGUGCACAGUUAUGCAACAUAAUGUGUAUCAUGAUGCUCUCCGUGACUAUUUUUAUAUAUACACAUCUUGUGUUUGAAAAUAAGGUAAGGAAUACCGAGUGCACAAUCUGUUGUAAUCGAUCUUAUUAUGGUGAUUGUUGAACCAGUUUUUAUUUAUGAUUGUAAAUUUUUUUGCUUGAGAGUUGGAAUUUUACGAUUUGAUAUAAAUGCUCACUGCUUUUCUUUUUUCUUUUUUCGGUUCUUUUGGAAGGAUAAUUUUUUGGCAAUUCAAGACGUUAUUAAGUUGCAUGAAAGUCAAAGGUUGACAAAGGUUUCUGGGUUCUGAUAUGAUAUGAUGAGUUAGACAAGCUUGUUAAUUUCUGUAUGAUUGAUCAAUUUAUUGCACUCCUGUAGUGAGAAUUGGGAAGAUAAGUUGAGAUAGCUGUUUAUUAUAAUGAGAUUCUGACGGAAAAGCAUACACACUUGACUAGCUGCCAAGGUUGAAGUAUUAAGGUUUGAGCUAGAUUGUUGCAUUAUUGUGGGAUUUGCUAGGUACAGACCACAUAACAUCGUGAACGAAACUUCUCAUUUAAGUUAACGAAUGCAAAACGUUCAUUAAGCGUUGUUAAGGCUGUGCUGUUUGUGGCAUGUAAAAUUUCUUGGACUUCCUUUGCAUGUUUGCUGGUGCCAAAUUCCUAACCUGGGCCUCGCAAAGUUGGUGCUUAGUAUAAAGAGAAGAAACUUGUUCCUAUUUUUUUUUUUUUUUUAUCUUCUUUAGUUUUACAGGUCCUGGUGGACUCUUCAAAAUUGUUAUUUAUAGAAUUUGAUUUGAGGACCUUGAGAGGCUGUUUAAAAUUAGGGUAGAGGGGAAUGAUACAGUUGUCAGUUAGAUCUUCCUAAGGCCUUUGAAAUGAUGAUUAUAGAUGUUGAUGGAUUUUCAAGACCAUGUGGGGAAUUUGGGGUUUCUUUCUUAAUUGUCUUUGGUAUACAUGCUGUUCAGAAUCGACUGUUUUUCCUCAUUCCUCAUUGAAAGAGGUUUGUAACGCAAAAUUAUUAAAUAAAAGCUUCACUGUGUGUGUAAUUUUUCUUCCGGAGGACAUGUUUUCCUCACUUAUUGUAAAUGUACUUUUUUUGAUUCUAAUAAAAGUCCCUUUUCUCUAAAAGAUUGUUCAGACUUGUCCAGCUUUUGGAUAAAGAAUUGUCUUGCGUUGACUGUUGUAUGUGCUAAUUGCGUAAAGUAAAUCAAUUCUCUACAUAUAACAGUUGCUUUGUUAGCCAAAAAAAGUAAAAAAGUGGGAGGGGAGAGGGCAAAGCUUGGUUUUGCAUAUCUGUCAUCGUGAAAAGAUUUUUAGUGAAGCUAAAGAUGAAGGUAAAACAGGAAUGGAGAUGGUCUCAAGAGUUACACUAUUUUGAUUUAAUGCUCCAGAGGCUAUACAACUCAGAUAUUUCACAGAAAUGGAGACUAAUAUAGGUUUACAUUGCAGAAAAUGCAACCCAUUGUGUCUUCAUAUCAGGUCUCAGUACAAUUAUGCUGAGUAGUUUUCAUAGUUUUGAUUUUAUAAAUGUACCUUUGGGAAAUGAUAGAUUUGCAACCACAUUACUGCGCUGUGGUGACCACAACUUAUUCUUGACAUAGUUAGCUGAUUACAUGGCAAAUCAUGCUUAAUAGUAGAAUUUGGAUGAUAGCUGAUUUUUUGUAGUGAACUAAUAAUGUGCUUCGAGAUUGGUAAAAUUGCUGUGAGGAACAAAGCUAUUUCUAAAGUUGUGAUGAUUUUUCUGCAAAUAAAGAAAAGAAAAUACUGUCAGUUAGCUAUGGGAAUAGGUAAUUAUUUAUUGAAAGGAAAUCAUGUCAACAGAACAAGUCUGAGGGAGUGGAAAAUAAAUCAUUCAUAAGAUGACAUUAUUUUUGUCACUUGUAUGGAUUUCUUAAAUUAAUUAGGAUGUGAAAUUGGCUUUCUUAGAACAAAGUUAUGAGAGGUCUUGCAUUUCAUGUGUAAAUUAUGCCUGUCAUUUCCUUGGAACCAUGAGACUCUUUGCUGUAACAAACUAUGUGAUAUUCAUAAUAAUUUUGUCUGGAGUUUUUUGUGAUCAUGGUUUUUCAGUAUCAUUAACUUGCUAAUUUUGAGGGCUUCAUGAAGACAUACAUGUUGUUCAUAAUUUUCUUACGUUCUCUAGGAUUUCUUUACCCUUUUGUAGAUUUAGGCAGCCGACUUAGUACCUGUUCAUGUAUGGCGUUGCUAUACCCUUUUUGAUAGUGUUGUUUCUUGAAUGGGUUUAACUGAAACAUCAUUUGGUUUUCAAGUUUUUUGUUUAUCUGCAGACUCAGGUGAAGGAGGAAUUGGCUUCCGACUAGACUCUCUUGCCCUGCAUUCUAUAGAGUAUGUUAAACUAAACAGUUUUUUUUUAAGAUGUAGCAUAGAACUACUGGCAAUUUUUUGGCAACUCUGCUUUAUUCUGUUGUCUAAUUAUUUGUUUACUGUAGGAACAAGAUUUCUGGACAUUGUAACACAUGCUCAAAUAAUUAGGAUAUGUUGACUCACUGGCUCUUUCUGUAGUUUUAUAAUUUUUUAUUUCCAAUAAUUCCUGUGAAGGGACACAGUGUUUCUAUUCAUUCACAUAUUUUCUGGUGAGAAUUAGUUGGUUACCAACUACCAGAAGGGUUACCCAUUAUUUGGCAGAUUGAUAGUUUUACCUUUCAUCUUUGUAGCAUGUAUCUGAAUUACAAAAUUGGUGUUUAACAGCAGGCGCUUUUGCCUUACCGCUCAGUGGAGGAACAUAUUUUGAAUUUCCUAUCUUGUGUUCAUGUCAAGAUUAUUUGAAUAUACUAAUGCAAUAGCAUGCUUAAAACCAAUAUUUUCACUUGGUGAGCAUAGCGGUUUCUAGAAAUAUGUUACCUUAAUAUGAAGGAAAAUCAUGGAAUCUCUUUUUGCACUGUGACAACAAAUCAAACAUGUAUCUUGCUACCUUGGAGAUUUUAGCCAUAUUUAUGUCGUUAAGUUGCAUUAUGACUAAGGUGAAUCCAACAUUACUCUUUGCGCCAAGGUGCAUGUCAUUUGCGGUGGUGAAUAUUCUAGGAUGCAGUAUUGUGAGAAGGCUGUGGUCAGUUUGGUGAGCUCUUACUCUGGAUUGACAACCUGAAGCUUGUACCAUAAAGGGCUAUGGAACGUAGACAUCAAUCUAACAUAUCACAAGCUUUUGAGAAAGGCCAUCA
Pistacia vera is the source of this 3653-nucleotide long non-coding RNA. RefSeq lists it as uncharacterized. The transcript has 3 exons. The record is from RefSeq and is a predicted model, not a curated record. NCBI's taxonomy places the organism in Eukaryota, Viridiplantae, Streptophyta, Magnoliopsida, Sapindales, Anacardiaceae.